GCGGAAAUGUUGUCGUGGUAGGCGGGUGAAAUGCAUAGAUAUGACACAGAACGCCGAUUGCGAAGGCAGCUUACUAAGCCAUUACUGACGCUGAGGCACGAAAGCGUGGGGAGCGAACAGGAUUAGAUACCCUGGUAGUCCACGCCGUAAACGAUGUUCACUCGCUGUUUGCGAUACACAGUAAGCGGCUGAGCGAAAGCAUUAAGUGAACCACCUGGGGAGUACGAUCGCAAGGUUGAAACUCAAAGGAAUUGACGGGGGCCCGCACAAGCGGAGGAACAUGUGGUUUAAUUCGAUGAUACGCGAGGAACCUUACCUGGGCUUAAAUGUAGGCUGCAUAGAUUGGAAACAGUCUUUCCCUUCGGGGCUGCUUACAAGGUGCUGCAUGGUUGUCGUCAGCUCGUGCCGUGAGGUGUCGGGUUAAGUCCCAUAACGAGCGCAACCCUUACCGUUAGUUGCCAUCAGGUCAUGCUGGGGACUCUAGCGGGACUGCCACCGUAAGGUGAGAGGAAGGUGGGGAUGACGUCAAAUCAGCACGGCCCUUAUGUCCAGGGCUACACACGUGUUACAAUGGUCGGUACAAAGGGCAGCUACCUGGCAACAGGAUGCUAAUCUCGAAAGCCGAUCCCAGUUCGGAUUGGAGUCUGCAACCCGACUCCAUGAAGUUGGAUUCGCUAGUAAUCGGAUAUCAGCAAUGAUCCGGUGAAUACGUUCCCGGGCCUUGUACACACCGCCCGUCAAACCAUGGGAGCUGGGGGUGCCUGAAGUCUGCGACCGCAAGGAGCGGCCUAGGGUAAAACUAGUGACUGGGGCUAAGUCGUAACAAGGUAACCGUAA
RNAcentral lists this ribosomal RNA (837 nucleotides) under uncultured bacterium. Its description in RNAcentral is "bacterial SSU rRNA". It matches the Rfam family "Bacterial small subunit ribosomal RNA", at positions 661 to 1505 of the family's 1533-position model. The record is from RNAcentral.